UACGAAGGGGGCUAGCGUUGCUCGGAAUCACUGGGCGUAAAGGGUGCGUAGGCGGGUCUUUUAAGUCAGGGGUGAAAUCCUGGAGCUCAACUCCAGAACUGCCUUUGAUACUAAAGAUCUUGAGUUCGGGAGAGGUGAGUGGAACUGCGAGUGUAGAGGUGAAAUUCGUAGAUAUUCGCAAGAACACCAGUGGCGAAGGCGGCUCACUGGCCCGGUACUGACGCUGAGGUGCGAAAAGCGUGGGGGAGCAAACAGG
Molecule: ribosomal RNA, 256 nt
Filed under: uncultured bacterium
Lineage: Bacteria
Description: partial 16S ribosomal RNA
Rfam family: Bacterial small subunit ribosomal RNA
Source: RNAcentral